This 180-nucleotide ribosomal RNA is filed under the name uncultured bacterium. RNAcentral's name for it is "partial 16S ribosomal RNA". It matches the Rfam family "Bacterial small subunit ribosomal RNA", at positions 1320 to 1500 of the family's 1533-position model. The record is from RNAcentral.
AUGAAGCCGGAAUUGCUAGUAAUGGCAGGUCAGCAUACUGCCGUGAAUACGUUCCCGGGCCUUGUACACACCGCCCGUCACACCAUGAGAGUUGGGAAUACCCGAAGCCUGUGAGCUAACUUAUAGAGGCAGCAGUCGAAGGUAGAAUCAAUGAUUGGGGUGAAGUCGUAACAAGGUACC